UUUCCGUAGGUGAACCUGCGGAAGGAUCAUUCACAAUGAGUGUUUUAUGGCACUCUUUAAAAAUCCAUAUCCACCUUGAGUGCAAUGUUUGUUGGGAGAGAGGCAACUCUUUCCCUUCACAAAUAUCAACCUAUAUCUUUAACAACAUUCGUCUGGUAACAUAUUAUGAAUAUACUUAAUUCAAAAUAUAACUUUCAACAACGGAUCUCUUGGCUCUC
Molecule: unclassified non-coding RNA, 218 nt
Filed under: plant metagenome
Description: partial contains small subunit ribosomal RNA, internal transcribed spacer 1, and 5.8S ribosomal RNA
Source: RNAcentral